GUCACCAUGUGAAGAAGAUCCUUGCUUCCCCUUCACCUUCUGCCAUGAUUUUAAGUUUCUUGAGGCCUCCCCAGCCAUGUGGAACUGUAAGAUGAAGUAAACACAUGGCAGCCUCUCUCUCCCACUGACGAUACAACCUUGAUAGAGGGCAUGGUGGAGCUAAUUGAAUGAUCCGAACAGUAAAUACCAGCAAGUAGAUGGGUGAAAACAGCCAGGAUUCCAAGUACCACAAAACUGGUGUUGAGUUGUGCACACUUUUUCCUCUGGAAUCUCUUGAGCAGAACUCAGCAUGACCUGAAACCCAGGAGUGAGCCGCACAGUGCCGACAAUGAGAUGCAGAAGAAAACCUCUGGUUCUGGCUGAAGCAGUGGACAAGGAGACUCUUGAAACUCAGAGCCUGGGGGCACCCCUGAUAGUGUUCUUUACUUUCUCUCCCUUCUCACAUUCCAGCCACCAGAGAAUGCAAGAGAGGAGUAGCAGUGGCAGUAAAUGUGGCAUCAACAACAACAACAAAAAGCAGGGACUAGGACUCUGAGGAAGGGAAGCCUAUAUUCUGGCCUCAGGGUGCUCUUUCUUCCUGCCUAGGGGUCAUAUACCACCUGUGGGCACCUCAGGACUCCUGACAACCUCACUUUUACCUGUUGCCUUUUUAGCCCAGGAUCAGUAGGUAUGGGGGUGCACAUGCUCUUGAGGACACAGCAGCUGUCACAUCAGGGAACCCGACUCCAGAACCCUCUGUAAAUAUCCCAUGGCUUGGCCCUGCCCAUCACCCCACCCAGGCCUCCUCAAAUGAGGAGCUAAAGCUGGCCCAUGGGGCCAAAGUG
Molecule: long non-coding RNA, 824 nt
Filed under: Homo sapiens (human)
Lineage: Eukaryota; Metazoa; Chordata; Mammalia; Primates; Hominidae
Description: non-protein coding lnc-LRFN2-1:1
Source: RNAcentral